ACGCUGGCGGCGUGCCUAAUACAUGCAAGUAGAACGCUGAAGGAGGAGCUUGCUUCUCUGGAUGAGUUGCGAACGGGUGAGUAACGCGUAGGUAACCUGCCUGGUAGCGGGGGAUAACUAUUGGAAACGAUAGCUAAUACCGCAUAAGAGUAGAUGUUGCAUGACAUUUACUUAAAAGGUGCAAUUGCAUCACUACCAGAUGGACCUGCGUUGUAUUAGCUAGUUGGUGGGGUAACGGCUCACCAAGGCGACGAUACAUAGCCGACCUGAGAGGGUGAUCGGCCACACUGGGACUGAGACACGGCCCAGACUCCUACGGGAGGCAGCAGUAGGGAAUCUUCGGCAAUGGACGGAAGUCUGACCGAGCAACGCCGCGUGAGUGAAGAAGGUUUUCGGAUCGUAAAGCUCUGUUGUAAGAGAAGAACGAGUGUGAGAGUGGAAAGUUCACACUGUGACGGUAUCUUACCAGAAAGGGACGGCUAACUACGUGCCAGCAGCCGCGGUAAUACGUAGGUCCCGAGCGUUGUCCGGAUUUAUUGGGCGUAAAGCGAGCGCAGGCGGUUAGAUAAGUCUGAAGUUAAAGGCUGUGGCUUAACCAUAGUACGCAUUGGAAACUGUUUAACUUGAGUGCAAGAGGGGAGAGUGGAAUUCCAUGUGUAGCGGUGAAAUGCGUAGAUAUAUGGAGGAACACCGGUGGCGAAAGCGGCUCUCUGGCUUGUAACUGACGCCGAGGCUCGAAAGCGUGGGGAGCAAACAGGACUAGAUACCCUGGUAGUCCACGCCGUAAACGAUGAGUGCUAGGUGUUAGACCCUUUCCGGGGUUUAGUGCCGCAGCUAACGCAUUAAGCACUCCGCCUGGGGAGUACGACCGCAAGGUUGAAACUCAAAGGAAUUGACGGG
RNAcentral lists this ribosomal RNA (900 nucleotides) under uncultured bacterium. RNAcentral's name for it is "bacterial SSU rRNA". It matches the Rfam family "Bacterial small subunit ribosomal RNA", at positions 33 to 917 of the family's 1533-position model. The record is from RNAcentral.